GAGAAAUCUAUGAAUCUAGAAGAAUUAUCUUGAUUAAUUAAGAAAAUAGUUGAAAAUAAAAGACAAAGAGGAACAAAGGGCAACUGCUGGCCAAAGAAAGACUGACAGCAACUUUUGUACUGAGUAGCAAAGAGAGCGAGAUUGCAUGAGAGGAAGCAGGAAAAGUCCAAAUAUGAUGUCUUCUCAUUAAAGUGUGGGUUCAUGUUAUCACAUGGAAAUGUCCAGUUGGAGAUAGAAUUGCAACCAAAAUUUAUCUUCAAUUCCUGAUUUAGUCACCUAAAUGAUAAUGGGAUAAAAAAUAUCAUUGACCUUCCAUAGGCCAACAUGUUCUCCACUUGGCAACUUCUUCUCCAAGAUUUUUUUUUUUA
Molecule: unclassified non-coding RNA, 368 nt
Filed under: Hevea brasiliensis (rubber tree)
Lineage: Eukaryota; Viridiplantae; Streptophyta; Magnoliopsida; Malpighiales; Euphorbiaceae
Source: RNAcentral